UACGGGGGGGGCAAGCGUUGUUCGGAAUUACUGGGCGUAAAGGGUCUGUAGGUGGCUUGCUAAGUCAGACGUGAAAUCCCUCAGCUUAACUGGGGAACUGCGUCUGAGACUGGUGAGCUCGAGUGCAGGAGAGGAAUGCGGAAUUCCAGGUGUAGCGGUGAAAUGCGUAGAUAUCUGGAGGAACACCGGUGGCGAAGGCGGCAUUCUGGACUGCAACUGACACUGAAAGACGAAAGCCAGGGGAGCAAACGGG
RNAcentral lists this ribosomal RNA (253 nucleotides) under uncultured bacterium. RNAcentral describes it as "partial 16S ribosomal RNA". It matches the Rfam family "Bacterial small subunit ribosomal RNA", at positions 524 to 776 of the family's 1533-position model. The record is from RNAcentral.